AGUGAACGCUGGCGGUAGGCCUAACACAUGCAAGUCGAACGGCAGCACAGUAAGAGCUUGCUCUUACGGGUGGCGAGUGGCGGAUGGGUGAGGAAUACAUCGGAAUCUACUUUUUCGUGGGGGAUAACGUAGGGAAACUUACGCUAAUACCGCAUACGACCUACGGGUGAAAGCAGGGGAUCUUCGGACCUUGCGCGAUUGAAUGAGCCGAUGUCGGGUUAGCUAGUUGGCGGGGUAAAGGCCCACCAAGGCGACGAUCCGUAGCUGAUCUGAGAGGGUGAUCAGCCCCACCGGAACUGAGACACGGGCCAGACGCCGACGGGAGGCCGAAGCAGGGAAUAAUGGACAAUGGGCGCAAGUCUAAGCCAGUCAAGCCGCGUGGGUGAAGAAGGCCUUAGGGUUGGUAAGCCCUAUUGUUGGGAAAGAAAAGCAGCAGGUUAAUACCCCGCUGUUCUGACGGUACCCAAAGAAUAAGCACCGGCUAACUUCGUG
RNAcentral lists this ribosomal RNA (492 nucleotides) under uncultured bacterium. RNAcentral describes it as "partial 16S ribosomal RNA". It matches the Rfam family "Bacterial small subunit ribosomal RNA", at positions 29 to 507 of the family's 1533-position model. The record is from RNAcentral.